This is a long non-coding RNA of Mobula hypostoma (lesser devil ray), 1127 nucleotides long. RefSeq lists it as uncharacterized. The transcript is spliced from 5 exons. The record is from RefSeq and is a predicted model, not a curated record. Lineage: Eukaryota; Metazoa; Chordata; Chondrichthyes; Myliobatiformes; Myliobatidae.
CUGAAACUGAAUAAUGUGGAUGUUAUUAUGCUUCUCGGCACUAGACCGUCACCUGAUGUCACCGAAGCAAAUGCGAGCAAGCCACCUUGCCAGAGCGAGCCAAGUGACAUCGUCGGAGCAAGUCAAGUCUUCUCCUCGAACCGAGUGCCAGUAGGUCGCCUCUCCUUGCCGGAGCGGGUCCGUCAAGUUAACUCGCCGGAGUGAGUCAAGAGCCGCUGUCUGGAGUUCCACACCGAGUUGAGAGCUUGCUACUACUUGGAGUCACCUCGUGCCAAGGGAGGAGGUACAGAAGCCUGAAGACUCACAGUCAACAUUUUAGGAACAGCUUCUUCCCUUCUGCUAUCUGAUUUCUGAAUGAGCCAUCAACCUAUGAACACUACAUUGCUGUUCCUCUUUUUGUACCCGAGGAAUCCUUGCAGAGGAAACAGCAAUCACUUGUACUUCUUCCACUCCACAGUUCUGUAAUCAGUGCUCAUAAUGUGGCCUCUUCUAAAUGGAGAAACCAAAUGCAGAAGUUCUUUUGAAGACCUUGACCUGGAGUUACACGCUGACCACGGUUCUUUGCCGGAAUGGGACUCGAUCUCGGGGUUCCAUAACCGACCAUUGUUCGGCACGCCAAAAGCUCGGCCCAAGAGUCCGGCUCGAAUUCGGAAGCCUAGGGUCUCAGGGCUCUGGAGGUGGGCGGAUCGAGUGUUGGCGUCAUGACUGGAUGCCCGUGUGUCGUCAGGGAAGUCAGGAAAUCUGCUGUGUGCCUGGAGACCCGUGAUCUUUGCGAUCUUCAAGCACAGAGCUCGAUAAAAGCGACGCAACGGAUUUUUAACAUUGUAAACCAGUGAGUUGUUUGUUAUGUCUCCCCACUCGCUGGGAAAAUGGAGACACCUUUUUCUCUCUUAUUAGGGAGAGAGAGGGAACCUACGAUAUGUUGAAUACCGGGUGAAACACGAAGACUUUGGGGUAACUGCAAGUCUGACUCUUUGCCUUUGCUUUGCUCACGCUUGAGUGCUUGGUGGUGGGGCUGAUGCUUGCUUUUUUUGCCGGUAGGUGGAGGGGGGAUUAUUGCUCACUGCUGCUUACGCGCAGGAGGGGGGAGCUGGAGGGAGGACUUUGAGGUUCUAACAUUUAACUGU